UGAUUUACAUUUGAGUGAGUGGCGAACUGGUGAGUAACACGUGGGAAACCUGCCCAGAGCGGGGGAUAACACCUGGAAACAGAUGCUAAUACCGCAUAACAACUUGGACCGCAUGGUCCGAGUUUGAAAAGAUGGCUUCGGCUAUCACUUCUGGAUGGUCCCGCGGCGUAUUAGCUAGAUGGUGAGGUAACGGCUCACCAUGGCAAUGAUACGUAGCCCGACCCUGAGAGGGUAAUCGGCUACAUUGGGACUGAGACACGGCCCCAAACUCC
This 272-nucleotide ribosomal RNA is filed under the name uncultured Lactobacillus sp. RNAcentral describes it as "partial 16S ribosomal RNA". It matches the Rfam family "Bacterial small subunit ribosomal RNA", at positions 76 to 339 of the family's 1533-position model. The record is from RNAcentral. Lineage: Bacteria; Bacillati; Bacillota; Bacilli; Lactobacillales; Lactobacillaceae.